AGUGAACGCUGGCGGCAGGCCUUACACAUGCAAGUCGAACGGCAGCGCAGGAUUCGUUGUUCCGUCGGUGGGGAGUGUGGUGAGUGUUUGAUCUGUACCUGCCUCUUCCCUUUUGUUUGGGCUACCCUCGCGGGAUUCGUACUCUUACCGCCCAUCAGAUACACGUGUGAGAACGGGAUCUCUCGCGCUUUUGCAGCUUUCGAUGUCGGAUUAGCUAGUUGGUGGGGUAAAGGUUUACCAAGGCGACGAUGCGUAGCUGGUCUGAGAGGAUGAUUAGCCACACUGGGAAUGAGACACGGCCCAGACUCCUACGGGAGGCAGCAGUGGGGAAUAUUGGACAAUGGGCGCAAGCCUGAUCCAGCCAUGCCGCGUGUGUGAAGAAGGCCUUCGGGUUGUAAAGCACUUUUGUUGGGAAAGAAAAGCAGCGGGUUAAUACCCGGUUGUGAUGACGGUACCCAAAGAAUAAGCACCGGCUAACUUCGUG
RNAcentral lists this ribosomal RNA (484 nucleotides) under uncultured bacterium. RNAcentral's name for it is "partial 16S ribosomal RNA". It matches the Rfam family "Bacterial small subunit ribosomal RNA", at positions 29 to 507 of the family's 1533-position model. The record is from RNAcentral.